UUCCCAACCCAGGGAUCAAACCCAGGUCUCCCGCAUUGCAGGCAGACGCUUUAACCUCUGAGCCACCAGGGA
RNAcentral lists this transfer RNA (72 nucleotides) under Haemonchus contortus (barber pole worm). RNAcentral's name for it is "tRNA, Pseudo". The record is from RNAcentral. Lineage: Eukaryota; Metazoa; Nematoda; Chromadorea; Rhabditida; Trichostrongylidae.